CAAUGAAAGGACGAACGGCAGUGCCAUAAGAUGUAAUUGCAGCAGGAGGAAAAAAACUACAGCAAAAAUGUCCAAUCUAAUCAGAAUUUUGGGGGUCUCCUGAUUUUGUUUUACUCUUGCCUUGCAAAAAAGGUUUAAUAGUAAAAUCUAUAUUCAGACCCAUUUGUGUAAUUGCUGAGAAGCUUGAACCAUGAACUUUGGAAUUUAACUACCAGCCUGAGAUAUAUAAUCAGCAAUAUAAGAAACUUUGAGACAGAAUAUAAUAAUCUAGAAGACCGGAGAUUGAUGCAGGAUUUCUUGGAUGUUUUACUGCCAUUGUCUUCUGGAAGAAAUACCAAGCAGCACUGAAUUAAUUCCUACAUGGAGUGGCUCCUUUCCUGACUGUGAUUCAUCUGGAAAGGGCCUGAUGCAUCCUCUUCCCCAGGCUGAUUCGAGGGACCAGAAGACAAACAUCCUGCUGGAGCUGAACCAGGCCAUUGUCUCUGCU
Pogona vitticeps (central bearded dragon) is the source of this 487-nucleotide non-coding RNA. The record is from RefSeq and is a predicted model, not a curated record. Lineage: Eukaryota; Metazoa; Chordata; Lepidosauria; Squamata; Agamidae.